Molecule: ribosomal RNA, 468 nt
Filed under: uncultured bacterium
Lineage: Bacteria
Description: partial 16S ribosomal RNA
Rfam family: Bacterial small subunit ribosomal RNA
Source: RNAcentral
GAUGAACGCUGGCGGCGUGCUUAACACAUGCAAGUCGAACGGUGAACACGGAGCUUGCUCUGUGGGAUCAGUGGCGAACGGGUGAGUAACACGUGAGCAACCUGCCCCUGACUCUGGGAUAAGCGCUGGAAACGGCGUCUAAUACUGGAUAUGUGACGUGAUCGCAUGGUCUGCGUCUGGAAAGAAUUUCGGUUGGGGAUGGGCUCGCGGCCUAUCAGCUUGUUGGUGAGGUAAUGGCUCACCAAGGCGUCGACGGGUAGCCGGCCUGAGAGGGUGACCGGCCACACUGGGACUGAGAAAAGGGCCAGACUCCUACGGGAGGCAGCAGUGGGGAAUAUUGCAACAUGGGCGGAAGCCUGAUGCAGCAACGCCGCGUGAGGGAUGACGGCCUUCGGGUUGUAAACCUCUUUUAGCAGGGAAGAAGCGAAAGUGACGGUACCUGCAGAAAAAGCGCCGGCUAACUACGUG